Molecule: long non-coding RNA, 312 nt
Filed under: Pan troglodytes (chimpanzee)
Lineage: Eukaryota; Metazoa; Chordata; Mammalia; Primates; Hominidae
Description: long non-coding RNA NONPTRT012797
Source: RNAcentral
UGUCUGCUAAAUGCACAUCUGGCUGGAAUUUUUAGUUCCACCCUUAGAAAGGAUUGAGAAAAGGAGAAGCUUCUUGGACAAAUGGGAUCAUGCAAAUGUGUGGAAGAAAAGUCUCAACAAGGUGGAGGAUGAAAUUCUGGGACACUAUCAUCCAUGUAGAUAUGAAUUCAUCCAGCAACAAAUCCAUAUUUACAGGAAAUGAACUAUCUGCACUGUGCCAGCCAUGCAAGUCUGACUCUGACAUGAGAGAAUGAGACCAGCAUGUGGCUUUGAAGUAUCUUGGCAAUCCUCACAAAUAUUUUUUUCCUUCCA